AACGAACGCUGGCGGCAUGCCUAACACAUGCAAGUCGAACGAGUCCUUCGGGUCUAGUGGCGCACGGGUGCGUAACGCGUGGGAACCUGCCCUUAGGUUCGGAAUAACUCCCCGAAAGGGGUGCUAAUACCGGAUAAUGUCUUCGGACCAAAGAUUUAUCGCCUUUGGAUGGGCCCGCGUUGGAUUAGCUAGUUGGUAGGGUAAAAGCCUACCAAGGCGACGAUCCAUAGCUGGUCUGAGAGGAUGAUCAGCCACACUGGGACUGAGACACGGCCCAGACUCCUACGGGAGGCAGCAGUGGGGAAUAUUGGACAAUGGGCGAAAGCCUGAUCCAGCAAUGCCGCGUGAGUGAUGAAGGCCUUAGGGUUGUAAAGCUCUUUUACCCGGGAUGAUAAUGACAGUACCGGGAGAAUAGCUCCGGCUAACUCCGUG
RNAcentral lists this ribosomal RNA (432 nucleotides) under uncultured bacterium. RNAcentral describes it as "partial 16S ribosomal RNA". It matches the Rfam family "Bacterial small subunit ribosomal RNA", at positions 29 to 507 of the family's 1533-position model. The record is from RNAcentral.